Molecule: unclassified non-coding RNA, 18 nt
Filed under: synthetic construct
Source: RNAcentral
GGCGUUCGUUAGAACGUC